RNAcentral lists this ribosomal RNA (221 nucleotides) under uncultured bacterium. RNAcentral's name for it is "partial 16S ribosomal RNA". It matches the Rfam family "Bacterial small subunit ribosomal RNA", at positions 1282 to 1500 of the family's 1533-position model. The record is from RNAcentral.
AACGUCCCAGUUCGGAUUGUAGUCUGCAACCCGACUACAUGAAGCCGGAAUCGCUAGUAAUCGCGGAUCAGAAUGCCGCGGUGAAUACGUUCCCGGGUCUUGUACACACCGCCCGUCACACCAUGGGAGUCGGAAAUGCCCGAAGCCGGUGACCCAACCCGAAAGGGAGGGAGCCGUCGAAGGCAGGUCGGAUGACUGGGGUGAAGUCGUAACAAGGUAGC